CACAUGCAGUCGAGCGGUAGAGAGAGCUUGCUUCUCUUGAGAGCGGCGGACGGGUGAGUAAUGCCUAGGAAUCUGCCUGGUAGUGGGGGAUAACGUUCGGAAACGGACGCUAAUACCGCAUACGUCCUACGGGAGAAAGCAGGGGACCUUCGGGCCUUGCGCUAUCAGAUGAGCCUAGGUCGGAUUAGCUAGUUGGUGAGGUAAUGGCUCACCAAGGCGACGAUCCGUAACUGGUCUGAGAGGAUGAUCAGUCACACUGGAACUGAGACACGGUCCAGACUCCUACGGGAGGCAGCAGUGGGGAAUAUUGGACAAUGGGCGAAAGCCUGAUCCAGCCAUGCCGCGUGUGUGAAGAAGGUCUUCGGAUUGUAAAGCACUUUAAGUUGGGAGGAAGGGUUGUAGAUUAAUACUCUGCAAUUUUGACGUUACCGACAGAAUAAGCACCGGCUAACUCUGUGCCAGCAGCCGCGGUAAUACAGAGGUGCAAGCGUUAAUCGGAAUUACUGGCGUAAGCGCGCGUAGGUG
This 525-nucleotide ribosomal RNA is filed under the name bacterium het-w-25. RNAcentral's name for it is "bacterial SSU rRNA". It matches the Rfam family "Bacterial small subunit ribosomal RNA", at positions 52 to 577 of the family's 1533-position model. The record is from RNAcentral.